GAGUUUGAUCCUGGCUCAGAACGAACGCUGGCGGCGUGCUUAACACAUGCAAGUCGAGUGCGCGUUCCGUAGCAAUACGGAAUGGCGCACGGCGCACGGGUGCGUAACACGUGGGUAAUCUGCCCUCUGAUGGGGAAUAACUCGCCGAAAGGCGAGCUAAUUCCGCAUAAUAUUCCGAAAAUCUCGGUUUUUGGACUGAAAGGCGUAAGUCGUCGGAGGAGGAGCCCGCGCACGAUUAGCUAGUUGGUAGGGUAAUGGCCUACCAAGGCUGUGAUCGUUAGCUGGUCUGAGAGGAUGGCCAGCCACAUUGGGACUGAGAUACGGCCCAGACUCCUACGGGAGGCAGCAGUGGGGAAUCUUGCGCAAUGGCCUAACGGCUGACGCAGCGACGCCGCGUGUGGGAUGAAGCUCCUCGGAGUGUAAACCACUGUUGCCCGGGACGAAUAGCUCGAUUAAUCGAGCCUGACGGUACCGGGUGAGGAAGCACCGGCUAACUCCGUGCCAGCAGCCGCGGUAAUACGGAGGGUGCAAGCGUUAUCCGGAUUCACUGGGUUUAAAGGGUGCGUAGGCGGGCAGGUAAGUCAGUGGUGAAAUCUUUGGGCUUAACCCGAAAACUGCCAUUGAUACUAUCUGUCUUGAAUAUUGUGGAGGUUUGCGGAAUAUGUCAUGUAGCGGUGAAAUGCUUAGAUAUGACAUAGAACACCUAUUGCGAAGGCAGCAAACUACGCAUAUAUUGACGCUGAGGCACGAAAGCGUGGGGAUCAAACAGGAUUAGAUACCCUGGUAGUCCACGCCCUAAACGAUGGAUACUUGACAUACGCGAUACACAGUGUGUGUCUGAGCGAAAGCAUUAAGUAUCCCACCUGGGAAGUACGACCGCAAGGUUGAAACUCAAAGGAAUUGACGGGGGCCCGCACAAGCGGUGGAGCAUGUGGUUCAAUUCGACGCAACGCGAAGAACCUUACCUGGGCUCGAAAUGCAGUGGACCGGGGUAGAAAUAUCCCUUUCCGCAAGGACUGCUGCAUAGGUGCUGCAUGGCUGUCGUCAGCUCGUGUCGUGAGAUGUUGGGUUAAGUCCCGCAACGAGCGCAACCCUUAUCCCUAGUUGCCACCGGGUCAUGCCGGGCACUCUAGUGAAACCGCCCCGGAUAACGGGGAGGAAGGUGGGGAUGACGUCAAGUCCUCAUGGCCUUUAUGUCCAGGGCUACACACGUGCUACAAUGGUCGGUACAAACCGUCGCAAACCCGUGAGGGGGAGCUAAUCGGAAAAAGCCGGCCUCAGUUCGGAUUGGAGUCUGCAACUCGACUCCAUGAAGCUGGAAUCGCUAGUAAUCGCAGAUCAUCACGCUGCGGUGAAUACGUUCCCGGGCCUUGCACACAC
RNAcentral lists this ribosomal RNA (1380 nucleotides) under uncultured bacterium. RNAcentral's name for it is "bacterial SSU rRNA". It matches the Rfam family "Bacterial small subunit ribosomal RNA". The record is from RNAcentral.